This 255-nucleotide ribosomal RNA is filed under the name uncultured bacterium. Its description in RNAcentral is "partial 16S ribosomal RNA". It matches the Rfam family "Bacterial small subunit ribosomal RNA", at positions 215 to 472 of the family's 1533-position model. The record is from RNAcentral.
GCGCUAUCAGAUGAGCCUAGGUCGGAUUAGCUAGUUGGUGAGGUAAUGGCUCACCAAGGCGACGAUCCGUAACUGGUCUGAGAGGAUGAUCAGUCACACUGGAACUGAGACACGGUCCAGACUCCUACGGGAGGCAGCAGUGGGGAAUAUUGGACAAUGGGCGAAAGCCUGAUCCAGCCAAGGCGCGUGUGUGAAGAAGGUCUUCGGAUUGUAAAGCAUAUGGAGUGGGAGGAAGGGCAGUUACCUAAUACGUGA